Molecule: RNA transcript, 903 nt
Organism: Ostrinia nubilalis (European corn borer)
Lineage: Eukaryota; Metazoa; Arthropoda; Insecta; Lepidoptera; Crambidae
Exons: 8
Source: RefSeq, a predicted model, not a curated record
UUUAAACCUAUCCCUACGCUUUAAAGCUGUCUAGUUCGAAGCUCUUGUACGAAAUCAUUUAUUGAAGUUUUCUUUGGUUAAUUUUAUAUUUAUUGUGACUUUAAUGUUCUGAAUUGGUUUCUCAGUUCUAAUUUUACAAAGGCGUAAUGUUUAUGUCGAUAUUAAAAGAAUUAGUUCGGAGAGAAGACUGAGAAUGGCUAAUCAGACUGCGAAUUACUGUUUGAUUACGUUAUUGUUCGUUUUGUUUAGUGCGAUCGCGUAUGCAGUUCCUCAUGAUGAAAACAACAAAACUGCAGCAUUUAAAUGUGACGAGAAUGGUGACUGUCCAUCCAGUUCUACGGAUUGUCAUGAAAUAUGUGGCUGCGACAGGUCUGGGUUCAUGGCGAUACAAUACAACGAAACUACAAAGACGUGUGUUGUAAGUUUCAGACAUCUGAUGAUCGCUGAAAUAAAAAUAUAUGACAGCCAAGAUAAAGAUUCGGAGGAUGGAGGAACCAUUGCCGGAGGAGGUACCAUGUCAAGUAAGGCAAUCAUUAUGUAACAAUAAUCGCCAUUUUAAAGAAAAAUAAAAUACGACUCGAAUCCGAGAAAAUUUUCAACUCGAUCAUGAUAUCGGUGAUAUUAUUUAUUACUUGCUGUGCUGUUUGCGUUGUAGCAGCGUGUUGCUACUGUUGCAGAAUUAGUUACAGUGAUUAUGCGCUGAAAAAGGACGUAAAGGCUUUGGCGAAUAAAUUAAAUAGAGAUGGAAAAUUACGUAAGAUUUCAAGAAAGCAACCGCAGACGCAAGCUAAUCAAAGCUGCAAUAUUGUAUGUGAAGAUGCUGGUGUGUUUGUGGUCUAAUGUUUUGUUCUUCAAAUUAAAGUUAUAACAGAAAUGAUUCUAAUAAAUACCCCUUUAAUACUU